This 587-nucleotide ribosomal RNA is filed under the name uncultured glomeraceous AM fungus. RNAcentral's name for it is "eukaryotic LSU rRNA". The stretch from base 178 to 331 matches the Rfam family "5.8S ribosomal RNA". Lineage: Eukaryota; Fungi; Glomeromycota; Glomeromycetes; Glomerales; Glomeraceae. The record is from RNAcentral.
CUUGGUCAUUUAGAGGAAGUAAAAGUCGUAACAAGGUUUCCGUAGGUGAACCUGCGGAAGGAUCAUUACUGAUUUGGCAAACCGAGCGUUAGCAAGGUUUUGCGAUCAAACUUAUAUUUAAAACCCCACUCUUUAAAAUGUAUAUAUUUUUUAUUUUGAAUGAUAAAAUUAAAAGAUCACUUUCAACAACGGAUCUCUUGGCUCUCGCAUCGAUGAAGAACGUAGCGAAGUGCGAUAAGUAAUGUGAAUUGCAGAAUUCCGUGAAUCAUCGAAUCUUUGAACGCAUAUUGCACUCUCUGGUAUUCCGGAGAGUAUGCCUGUUUGAGGGUCUGUUAAAUAAAAAUCGGGGUUGUUGCUGCUUUUUGUGGUGACGCUUCGGAAUUGGGUAGUCUUACCUUAGGGUUUAAGUGACCUAAAAUUUUACAUGAUUUUUCGAACGUAUUUAAAUCUUUUACGUACGUUUGGUUAUAUCGAAUAUAUUAGGUGAGGUCAUCCUCAUGAUUCACGUCUAUAAUUUUUUUCAUUUUUAGACCUCAAAUCAGGUAAGAACACCCGCUGAACUUAAGCAUAUCAAUAAGCGGAGGAAA